RNAcentral lists this long non-coding RNA (2645 nucleotides) under Aquilegia coerulea. RNAcentral's name for it is "long non-coding RNA (ACOE_LNC001465)". The record is from RNAcentral. Lineage: Eukaryota; Viridiplantae; Streptophyta; Magnoliopsida; Ranunculales; Ranunculaceae.
UUGAUGGUGACUUUUGCGUAAGAAUGUGUAAUUCUCCAGCAAUGCAAGUUAUUUUUAAAUCCAUUGACACUUAACCGAAAUAUAGGGUAUGGUGGAUGUCAGUAAAACUUAUGUUGAAUAAAAGUAUAACAACUAAUUAAAAAUCGAGAAGGAAUCACAAAAAGGAAACAAGUGAAUGGCGAUAAGAAUAAUUAUAAAGCUUGUUGCUGUCAUAUUGGCUACAAUGAACAAAAUGGUGUAUUGGUUAGUAGUUUAUGUAUGCUUUUAUUUGUUAUUUUUUUCUUCUUUGGAAGAUUUUGGUUGUUUGAUUUUGGAUGUUGGUGAAAAUUAUUUAUAUCUAUUGAUCCUAAUAUGAUGACAAAUGUUUGUAGCGUGUGCCAUUUAUUUACGUUGAUCCAGAGAGGAUUGCAUACAUAUGCAAGGUGCCUGUGAACGAGUUUAGAGCAGCUGCUGUAGUCGCAGACUGGUUUCAUCAAUUAGAUGAUAUCGUUGUACGUUUUUAAUUAGUUUUUUUAACAAGUAGAUAUUCAAAUUUAUCAAUUGAUUUCAAACUAUAAUUCAUUAAUUUUUGUUGUUGUUGUUGUUGUUAUUCAGGAUUGGGUUUCCGAGUUAUGCUUUUGAACAGGUAAGAAAUUUUUUGAUCAUAUUCUUUAUGUUUUAAUUUGUACUAGAUGUACUAGCUGUGGAUGCGUGCUACACACCAUUGUUAGGAUUAAUUUGUAUUCUUAAAUGAUAUAUAUUGUGUCCGGUAUUGGCAAAAGUGUUUCUGAGGUGUUGAUUAGUAUUCCAUAAGAAAAAGAAGAGAUAACCGUACAAUAUAUAGUAUGCAGACAGUGAGGAAACUUAAUUAGCAUUAUAAAUUGAGAAAAUAUACAUUUCAAGUAUGGUUAUCUUUAUUAUGAGUAAGAUCUUGAUGUAAAUGUGUAGUUUGAGGUUGCUUAGUAUUUUUCAGUCCUCCUUUCAAUUUCAACCACUUAACUCUCUCUAUGGAGCGUGGAAUCCUUAAUCACAAAGCAUUAUUUUUUCUACUUUACUUCAGGUAGCUCUAAUUAGGCUAUUUUUUUGCGUGAACUUGGAACUGCUUCUUUUGUUUGAAUCUUUUUUCUUCCACAUUUUUGAAAUUUUUCGAAAAUUUUGGGAAUUUGACUGUGCUUCAAUUUGUAAUUUAUUCCAGUACUAGCAAUUCAUGAACUGAGCCUGUAGAAACUUGAAACAACUUCUGUACUAAAUGUCAUGGACUUGGUUGAUAGGUCCAAUUUUGAUGCGCAAGAACUAGGAUAAGAGACCAAUGGUUGCUUCUUGCCAGUAUCUACAUCUCUAAACUUAUUCUAUGUCAUUUGCCGGCCUCUACUUCUAUGUAGCUUGCAUCACCCUUCAUUUAGCCAAAGUUUGCGCUGGUUACAGCCACACACUUCUUUAGCCAGAGACAUCUGAAAGUUUUGAAAUGGCAUACCAUAAUCUUGUCUUUGAGAUUAUCAGUAAUUAAUUUUACGGAAAAUGGUCACACUUUGUAUCAUGUCAACAAUAUCUGAAGAUUAAUUGAAAACGCUUUUGAUGUGUGAUUGAUCUACCUUAUUCCGGUGUUCAUUUUGUAGAUGAUCAUAAUCUUGAGUCAUGAUCCCUAUCCCUAGCUGAUUAUGGUGCUUUGUUGGGUCUACCAUGGGCUACCUUAUUCCGGUGUUCAUUUUGUAGAUGAUCAUAAUCUUGAGUCCUGAUCCUUAUAGCCCUGGCUAAGUAUGGUGCUUUGUUGGGUCUACCAUGGACUACCUUAUUCCGGCGUUCAUUUUGUAAAUGAUCAUAAUCUUGAGUCCUGAACUCCUGAUGCCUACCCCUGGCUGACUAUGGUGCUUUGUUGGGUCUACAAUGAAUCCCAAGUUCUAACUGUGAGUCAGUGAGUAUGCACUUUUCACACUGCAGUACCAAUUGUUGGGCCCAAUAAUUGUGAGUAUACCUUAUAUUGGGCCAACAAUUAUUGAGUUGAUUGGCACAAUGUCACGAUUACCCACCAGGCACCACUCUGCAAGUCUGCAGUCCCACUAGUCCACUACCACUUUGUUGUCUACUCUUCUAGAGUUCCAGUCUCAACUUGUGUUCUUUACUCUUGUACAUGCAUCAUAAGAAUAGAGAAUAGAUUAAACAAGUAGUACAUAUUCAAUGGCAAGCACCAUCUCAGUUCUUGAGCUGCGGAUUACUUCACUAUAGGUUGUCACAGAGAUCACUAUCAGUUACACAAAAUGUAUCCACUUCCACAUUUAAUUUACCAGUUCUGAAACACACAAAUUACUAGUUACUACAUCUCAAUUGGAUUUAGCCUAAAACAACAUGGAUCACGUUUGACCUAUCUUCCUUACCCACGUAGAAGCAGAAGCAGGUUAAACCGUUGAACUACUUUGAGCAAAACUCAAGUUGCAAGAAUCAUCGAAUAUUCAAAUUAUGGUAAGAUCCAAACAUAUUUUCUCGAAUUAGUCAGAUGUGGUAGGAUCAUCAAUUUUUUAUUUUUUUUCAAGAACUGACCAAAACUUGUGGAUACUUUAAUAUAUAUCCACCAAAACAAACUUGUGGAUACACUUCUAGUCUCAACUCUCAACUUUAUUGAUGGGAAGUGCAUGAAGUCAGAAUUCAAAAGUUGCAGUGCUUUAUGAUAU